This 497-nucleotide ribosomal RNA is filed under the name uncultured bacterium. RNAcentral's name for it is "partial 16S ribosomal RNA". It matches the Rfam family "Bacterial small subunit ribosomal RNA", at positions 28 to 507 of the family's 1533-position model. The record is from RNAcentral.
GAUGAACGCUGGCGGCGUGCCUAAUACAUGCAAGUCGAGCGAACAGACGAGGAGCUUGCUCCUCUGACGUUAGCGGCGGACGGGUGAGUAACACGUGGAUAACCUACCUAUAAGACUGGGAUAACUUCGGGAAACCGGAGCUAAUACCGGAUAAUAUAUUGAACCGCAUGGUUCAAUAGUGAAAGACGGUUUUGCUGUCACUUAUAGAUGGAUCCGCGCCGCAUUAGCUAGUUGGUAAGGUAACGGCUUACCAAGGCAACGAUGCGUAGCCGACCUGAGAGGGUGAUCGGCCACACUGGAACUGAGACACGGUCCAGACUCCUACGGGAGGCAGCAGUAGGGAAUCUUACGCAAUGGGCGAAAGCCUGACGGAGCAACGCCGCGUGAGUGAUGAAAGUCUUCGGAUCGUAAAACUCUGUUAUUAGGGAAGAACAAAUGUGUAAGUAACUAUGCACGUCUUGACGGUACCUAAUCAGAAAGCCACGGCUAACUACGUG